RNAcentral lists this long non-coding RNA (652 nucleotides) under Phoenix dactylifera (date palm). Its description in RNAcentral is "long non-coding RNA (PDAC_LNC003346)". The record is from RNAcentral. Lineage: Eukaryota; Viridiplantae; Streptophyta; Magnoliopsida; Arecales; Arecaceae.
ACAUACAUAGUUUUUGCGUUACUGAAUUCAUCGCUAUGGCCUAGCAUGACCUAUAAAACUAUAACAAUUACGUCAUGACGCCUUUAAUGAGAUUAAUAUUUCUUCUUUGUCGUUCUUGUAUUUCUUUUGUAUAAAACAAGCACUCCUCCAAUGUUUUUGCUGCUCAUGUCUUCCACUAGUAUGUCUGGUGGUUGUUUCCAUUGCAAUAGAUGUUACUACUUUGUGAUAUCCUCCAUCUUUUGUUAGGCAUGCUGCUACUUUUACUAGUUCUUGGUCAAUUUAGGAAGCAAUUCUUUGGAAUGGGUGGUUUAGGAAACAUGAGAGGCCAGAGGUUAGGUAAGUUAAUCUUAUUUAUGUAUAUUUUCUAUAUAUAAAUUGAUGAAGUUUAAUAUCAUAAUUUUUCUAAAUCAUUAGUUUGCUAGUACAUAUUUUAACAGCAUGCCAAGGUGUUAUGUACCACUUGAUUUUGUAUUAGAUUUUCGAAAGCUUCCACAUUUGCGUUGUGGUAGCAAUAGCAACUCAACACAUGAAAGAAGUAGAGUUCAAUCCUAUUCCCCUCUCAUUUAGAAGGAGAUUAUGGCAAGGAUGAAAACAAAGGAGAAUGCUCCAACUACAGGUAAAUCUAGUGACCAAGGCCAUGAUCGUUGAUCAN